AGAGUUUGAUCAUGGCUCAGAUUGAACGCUGGCGGCAUGCCUUACACAUGCAAGUCGAACGGUAACGCGGGGCAACCUGGCGACGAGUGGCGAACGGGUGAGUAAUACAUCGGAACGUGCCCAGUAGUGGGGGAUAGCCCGGCGAAAGCCGGAUUAAUACCGCAUACGACCUACGGGUGAAAGCAGGGGAUCGCAAGACCUUGCGCUAUUGGAGCGGCCGAUGUCAGAUUAGGUAGUUGGUGGGGUAAAAGCCUACCAAGCCUACGAUCUGUAGCUGGUCUGAGAGGACGACCAGCCACACUGGGACUGAGACACGGCCCAGACUCCUACGGGAGGCAGCAGUGGGGAAUAUUGGACAAUGGGCGAAAGCCUGAUCCAGCAAUGCCGCGUGAGUGAUGAAGGCCCUAGGGUUGUAAAGCUCUUUUACCCGGGAAGAUAAUGACUGUACCGGGAGAAUAAGCCCCGGCUAACUCCGUGCCAGCCGCCGCGGUAAUAC
RNAcentral lists this ribosomal RNA (496 nucleotides) under uncultured bacterium. Its description in RNAcentral is "bacterial SSU rRNA". It matches the Rfam family "Bacterial small subunit ribosomal RNA", at positions 8 to 526 of the family's 1533-position model. The record is from RNAcentral.